GGCCCCGCCCAGCCCGGGCAGCCCCCCGGCGGCAGGGGUGUAUCCGGGCGGGCGGCCGCGCGGCUCCGGGAACUCGGCUCCGUCAGACUUCCGGGACAGAGGAGGCUUUUCUGCUCAAAAUCCACCAGACUCCUCCGAUGCGCUUUGCUUUUACGGUGGAAAACUCCGAUAACCAUUUCAAAAGGCACACACAGCCCUGAAAAUAAGUGAAAUUAGAACCUGCCGACUUCACUUCCUGGAGGCUUUUUGUUGGGGCUUGAAACUAGGAAUCUGUGCGGGUCAUCCUCGGACGCCCUUGAGCCCAUCACCAGCCCGUCCUCCAGCCCAGCACUGUGCAUUUUCACGUCUCCUUGCCGGGCUUCCUAUCCGUUACUUCUGCAUUAUAGGACCAACUCUUGUGAUUAUCAUCAGCUAGAGGAAAUCCAUACGUCUCCCCGGGUAACGUGAAGUCGCCAUGUUGCCAAGGACCCUAGGGAUUUUCUUCUGUGGUCAUGGUCACAGCCAAAGUCUUCUUGAAGGACACAUUUUCAUUUCAUUGCCAUAUUUGGUGGCUAAGAGCCUUCCGGUUACGUUGCUAAACGUUCAGAAUUUAAUUUGCUCGAUUCAAUGGCCGAAGAAACCCACCGACGACUGUAUGUACUCAUACAUAUGAAAUAAAUGACACGUGCCAGCCCCCGGAAGAUGAGCCAUUCCUCCUGCUAAUCUGGGGAGAUGUGUCCUGCUGGGUAAAAGACACAGGGCAUACGGUCUUCUUGGCUCCCGGACAAAAGUAUCCAUCCUUCUCUAACUCCAAAUGAAAGGUAGAAAAACACCACGGAAGGUUUUAAGAAAGGAAGCGGAGUGUUCUGCAGACCUACGAGGCGAGUCCUGUUCUUUUCUCUUGUCUCCGGGACAGAAAAUGUGAUCAAUAUCAAGAUGUUUCAUUGCUGAUACUUACAUAGAGAGACCUCAGCGCUCACCUCUCAAAACACAUGUCUUCGGAUGCCAAUUUCACCGCUGAAAGUGAGCAGAACUGAGCUGUCCUAAAGGGGGGUUAGUGGUGUCAUUGUGGGCGUUGGGAGGGUGCCCAGGCUGUGUCUUUCGUCCGUUCUCAACUGUUGCUUCUUAAGACACACACAUUCGUGCCCCAGCGUGGUGUCCAGCCCGUGCUGACACACACAUACUCUGCUGGAACGCCUUUCCCUACUAGCGGGCCACGGGCACAUCGUUUUACGACACAGGGUUGUCUGAAUGGCCAUCUUUCGAGCAGCACGCACUCUGAAGCAUCCUUCGCCACUUCAUGGGGAAAUGUAAUCAGAAGUCAGGCUGGCUGGGCGUCUAACGAGAGAGAAGCAAAGGCUUCAUUAAAGACGAGUUGUUUAAAAUGUCAGCAACGGGGGGGCACCCGGGUGGCUCGGUUGGUUGAGCAUCUGACCUCUGCCCAGGUCAUGAUCUCGAGGUUCGUGAGUU
Molecule: long non-coding RNA, 1449 nt
Organism: Puma concolor (puma)
Lineage: Eukaryota; Metazoa; Chordata; Mammalia; Carnivora; Felidae
Source: RefSeq, a predicted model, not a curated record